This is a long non-coding RNA of Pteropus alecto (black flying fox), 286 nucleotides long. RefSeq lists it as uncharacterized. The transcript is spliced from 3 exons. The record is from RefSeq and is a predicted model, not a curated record. NCBI's taxonomy places the organism in Eukaryota, Metazoa, Chordata, Mammalia, Chiroptera, Pteropodidae.
CUGAGUUUCAAGCCAUGAAUCAUUGUCAAGGGAUCUCCUCAAGCUGCCGUGAGCAAGAAGUGCUAACGGACGAGCCUCAAUGGGUACGGAUGCUCUUUGGAGGAAUCAUGGUGAAUUAAUUUGAACCUAUUAAGAAAUCUUGGAUCAGUGGACUCUUCAUGUAAGAACCCUUGAUACUAUGCAACUGGCUGAUAAAUGGAUAACUUUAUUUUUCUCUUCAAAAUCAUCAGGGGUGCUGAUUUCCCACUGAAGAAGUCAUAAGCCUUGCCCAAGCAUCACUUGGUAA